Molecule: ribosomal RNA, 141 nt
Filed under: uncultured eukaryote
Lineage: Eukaryota
Description: partial 18S ribosomal RNA
Rfam family: Eukaryotic small subunit ribosomal RNA
Source: RNAcentral
UGGUGGAGUGAUUUGUCUGGUUAAUUCCGUUAACGAACGAGACCUCGACCUGCUAAAUAGUCUUUCCAACUCUUCGGGGUUGGGCAUGACUUCUUAGAGGGACUAUCGGUGUCUAGCCGAUGGAAGUUCGAGGCAAUAACA